GACGAACGCUGGCGGCGUGCUUAACACAUGCAAGUCGAACGGAAAGGCCUCUUUCGGGGGGUACUCGAGUGGCGAACGGGUGAGUAACACGUGAGUAACCUGCCCUUGACUUUGGGAUAACUUCAGGAAACUGGGGCUAAUACCGGAUAGGAGCUCCUGCUGCAUGGUGGGGGUUGGAAAGUUUCGGCGGUUGGGGAUGGACUCGCGGGUUAUCGGCUUGUUGGUGGGGUAGUGGCUUACCAAGGCUUUGACGGGUAGCCGGCCUGUGAGGGUGAGCGGCCACAUUGGGACUGAGGUACGGCCCAGACUCCUACGGGAGGCAGCAGUGGGGAAGAUUGCACAAUGGGUGGAGGCCUGAUGCAGCAACGCCGUGUGCGGGAUGACGGCCUUCGGGUUGUAAACCGCUUUCGCUCAUGACGAAGCUUUGUGUGACGGUAGUGGGUAAAGAAGCACCGGCUAACUACGUG
This 467-nucleotide ribosomal RNA is filed under the name uncultured bacterium. RNAcentral describes it as "partial 16S ribosomal RNA". It matches the Rfam family "Bacterial small subunit ribosomal RNA", at positions 28 to 507 of the family's 1533-position model. The record is from RNAcentral.